This 228-nucleotide unclassified non-coding RNA is filed under the name uncultured fungus. RNAcentral describes it as "sequence contains ITS1, 5.8S rRNA gene". Lineage: Eukaryota; Fungi. The record is from RNAcentral.
UCUCCGUAGGUGAACCUGCGGAGGGAUCAUUACUGAGUGAGGGUCUCCGGGCCCGACCUCCAACCCUUUUGUGAACCACCUCGUUGCUUCGGGGGCGACCCUGCCGUUCGCGGCGUGGGGCCCCCGGAGCCCAUCAAACCCUGCGUAACUAAGUCGUCGGAGUUUAAACAAAUUAAACAAAAAACUCACAAACGGAUCUCUCGGUUCGGGCAUAGAUGAAGAACGAGC